Molecule: long non-coding RNA, 3819 nt
Organism: Poecilia reticulata (guppy)
Lineage: Eukaryota; Metazoa; Chordata; Actinopteri; Cyprinodontiformes; Poeciliidae
Source: RefSeq, a predicted model, not a curated record
AAAAAAAAACAUGCAACAGUGUCGCGCCUUGUGCCAGUCACCCAUCUCCUGCCCUCCCUCCCUUUUAGAAAGGAAAAAAAAAAACCGUCUGCGUCUCCUCGCCGUGAGAUUCCCUGUGCGCACCCAGUCCACUCAUCCAGUUCUGGAACGAUGGAGGGAAAGGGGAAAGGGCAGCUUGUUGCUGCUACUGCUACUACUGCCAUGUUACAGCUUCGAAAAAUCCGAGCAGGAUAUUCCCAAACAGCUGGAAGGAGGUGAUAUAUGGUGCUGCGCCCUCACGCUGGCUGGGCCCUCCCCAAAAUGGACCGGUACUGUGCGCUAACCUGGUUAUUUUCAGCGCGUCACUGGCUCGCGUCCAAUUAUAGGUUUCCGUCCGGGGGCGCAGUAGUUGUCCUGAAAGAGGACUUGAAAACGGAUCAAGAGCUCUAGACAGAGAAAUGUCCGAGCAUGUGCCUCUCAGCUGCACAUAUUCCUGCGGCGCGCUGACUCUCCCCUGUACGCGGGCCACCCAGGCCCGGGGCUGAACUCCGCCGCCGGUCCUCCUUAGCACGUCGCCUCCGGGGCGACUCGUCUGCGCCUCUCUCAAGGUGUUCCCCCCUUUUUAUCGUUUCUGACUGUGUACAUCCCGGGUUCAUCACACCUCUCCCGUUAUCUCCACUCACCAGCAACAUGUUGGUGCACAGCGACCUCUGGCGACACUGACUACGUAAUUACUUUGAUUACUUGCAAGCAGCUGGUAACUGUAGUGAGUGAUUUACGCAUUCGAUCUCUUACAGGAUAGUUUGGCUCCAAAAAGUGGAAAAAUGUGAAAUUUUAAAAAUGUCAUCUCAAGAACUCUCUGUGACGAUAAAGUAUCCAGUGAUAAUAUUGAGAACAAUUACGCUAAUAAAGCUGUUAAGGUCAAUAAUGGGUCAAUUAGGACACGUGAGAUACUGGGCCCAGUCUCCAUUCAAGCUUAAUGUUUGGGGCUUUGUUCCUAUACAAUACACUAAAUCAUAAUUAUUUUUGCAUUUCGCUUUAUUUUGCUUACAUGCAGCUUUUAUCAGUUUAUUGUAAUUCGUACCGUUUCAAUUAUAACUUUCAUUUACCCUUGCGUAUGAUUUUAUUUUAUUUUAUUUUAUUUUAUUUUAUUUUAUUUUAUUUUAUUUUAUUUUAUUUUAUUUUAUUUUAUUUUAUUUUGACAUCUUAUUCAAGGCUCUCCGAAUCAGAUUUUCUGUUUUGUCAUCUCACAUGGCUUCAGUCAGGUGCUUCACAUAACGAGGUCGUUUGCUUCAAAAUAAAAGCACUUUCAUGUCUGGCCCUUUAAAGAUAAAAAUGGAUUGACAAAACAGACUGAGUUUUCACUUUGGUUACUCCUGCGUCUCAAAAUACUUCACAACAGCGGCCUGUUGCUGUCGCUUUGCCGUAAAACGCUUGUGCCAGGUGGGCUUUUAUCGUGAAAACCCUGCCCGGAAACGAGACGUGCUGUCGACGUGAGCUUUAUUGUAGAAUAGCAAUGUCAGACUUUGUGUCUAACGGGGACACCCCGGCUUCUUAUAAACAGAAUAACUCAGCACCAAAGGGGCGGAUGUUGACCUCCGUCUGAACCGUGUGGAGCAGGGGAGACCAGCAGCCAAUGAGGCGGCAGGUCGGCCGCAGGCGGCACUCUCGAUGGUCUCCCCCACCAUGAAGGCGGUGGUGGAUGCCGUGUGGGCAGUGUGGAGCAUCGGCGCCUCCAUCUAUGACUACAUCCACACCAACGCCAUGGAGGAGCGCAUCCACGCCCUGGAGAACGUCAUAACCAUCCAUCAGUGUGUGAUCGGGCUGCUGACUGCCGGCGUGCUGGCUCUCUUCACCUACAUCCUCCUCAAGAAGCUCUGACCCGAUGACCUGAAGAGGAAGACUGAUGCCGAGUGUGAGAAAGGAGAGCAUUCUGGGAUACUUGUAGUUUUUCCGCGAUGAAAGAAAACAGGCACGUCUGCACAGUUUGCUACGUUGGAAGGAGAGAACUGUGUAAAAUAAUACCAUCCACAUUGGAAGCUGCUUUUUUAUUGUGUCAUCAUCUCUGCAGGAUUUUUAAGAGCAGUCGUUGAUUUUUCACUGUCCUGAUCUUUUUUUUUUCCUUUUUGAAGGUCUGACAGGAUUGUUCAUUUUGAUUUAAUAAUGCUCUGUUAAUUUACAGGGUAAAGACACUCAGUAUACUGUCCUUAAAUUUAGCCUUAAUUGAAUUCCUAUAAAAAUAAAAGCAUUUACACUGUUGACUAACAUACAUCCAACACAUAUUUCUCAGGUAAUAUAAGGAAACUCUCCAGCAUCCAAAGGAAAUGUCACUCGAUUUCUUUACAUUCUUUUAAAGACGGCUGUUGCUUUUCACUCGCUGUUCCUGUCAACAAGAAGUUCAGUCAGCAUCAUGGGAAAUAUAACAUUUAAGAGUAUAGAUGUCUUCUGACAAGUUUAGUUUAUAGUUGCAUUUAGUAACUUAAAUAAUGAUAAAAAUCAGUUAUUAUUCUUAAAUAUAGUUGUAAUAACAAAUUCGGGUUUAGGAUGUUUUUUUUAUUUAUUUUUUAUUCAUUUUUCCAUGGAAUAACUAUUGAAUUUCCUUAACAGAAUGAAAAAGUACCAGUGAUAGAUUUUUUUUUGCCAUUAUGUUGGAAAUGUGAUUUAUUAAUUUGUUUUUUUUUCCUUUUUACAUUAUUUUUCACAAUUGACACCCCACAGAGGAAAACACAUGUAUCCUCUUUUGGAAAAUGAGUUAUUUCAAAAUUGACAUUCUCUAUGAAAGAUAUUUAUCAGAAUUUACAGUUUGUCUUUUUUUUUUCAAAAGGUCAGGUAACAUUUGCGUCUCGUAGCAUUUUAUUUAGUUGCACUGAGGAGAAAAAAUAAGUUUUGGACUGUAAAAGUUUUAAUCCCCUGAUAUGUUUUUGUUUAACCCAAUUUUUACAUUUAUUCUGUUGUGGUCAGGAACAUGUUGCUCCAUCAGAGUUUAAGAGACUUUACAGUUGGUUAGUGUGUUUCAUAUUAAGAUCAAAUGGGUGGUUAAUGGAUUUUAACAGGAGUUUCUGUGAUAGACCAGCACAAUGUAGUGAAAAUUGUGAAGUGGAAAGAAGGAAGUAAAGGGUUCCAAGUUUUUUCACUAAGAUCUUCAUCGUCCUCCACCUGCCCCAGCUGAACAACAGCAGCCCACAGCAUGACGCUGCUCUGACCCGUUCAUGCCAUUAUGAUGAUGUGCAGUUCAGUGUUUUUUUUAUGUCUCAUACUUUUAAGUUUUUGUAACAUUCUGGACAUUUGAGUGUCGGGUCAUUUUGCUACUUUUGUUGCAUCUGGACUAAUUUGGGUCAGCUGUAUUUCAAAAUGUAAAGUUUUCCGGACUGCCAUUUGGUGUCUGGUUGUUUUGUUACCCGAGCUGAGGCACCAAGUGACUCCCACGACCAUAACCCUAAUGAAGAGUUACGAUACCUGCUAAUUUCAGUCACUAAUGGAGGCUGUUGGUUGUACUGGGUUUUAUGUAUUCGUAGUAAAGGGGGCAUUGAUGUUCAUUUUGAGAACCUACUUCCACUUUAUAAUUGUGCUCUAUUUUGUGGUGGUCCACCACUUAAAAUGUUUUGAAAUUUGAAGUUUUAAACUAAGUACUUUUACACAUUAACUGAAUGCAUUUUCUACUUGCUCUUAUAUGUUAUGUUGCAUAGAAUAUGAAGAUCUAUUUUGAUUUUUUUCCCCCAUAAACAUUGUAUACCUCAUAACCAAGACUUUAGGUGCCACUGCAGUAAAAAUAAGCCACUAAUUGUAAGUGUCCUUAAAAUCUGUAAUUAAAUAUGGAGGUUUAUUGCCAUUUUAAUGUUU